GCUUGCUACCUGACCUAGCGGCGGACGGGUGAGUAAUGCUUAGGAAUCUGCCUAUUAGUGGGGGACAACAUUCCGAAAGGAAUGCUAAUACCGCAUACGCCCUACGGGGGAAAGCAGGGGAUCUUCGGACCUUGCGCUAAUAGAUGAGCCUAAGUCAGAUUAGCUAGUUGGUGGGGUAAAGGCCUACCAAGGCGACGAUCUGUAGCGGGUCUGAGAGGAUGAUCCGCCACACUGGGACUGAGACACGGCCCAGACUCCUACGGGAGGCAGCAGUGGGGAAUAUUGGACAAUGGGCGAAAGCCUGAUCCAGCCAUGCCGCGUGUGUGAAGAAGGCCUUUUGGUUGUAAAGCACUUUAAGCGAGGAGGAGGCUACUUGGAUUAAUACUCUAGGAUAGUGGACGUUACUCGCAGAAUAAGCACCGGCUAACUCUGUGCCAGCAGCCGCGGUAAUACAGAGGGUGCGAGCGUUAAUCGGAUUUACUGGGCGUAAAGCGUGCGUAGGCGGCUUUUUAAGUCGGAUGUGAAAUCCCUGAGCUUAACUUAGGAAUUGCAUUCGAUACUGGGAAGCUAGAGUAUGGGAGAGGAUGGUAGAAUUCCAGGUGUAGCGGUGAAAUGCGUAGAGAUCUGGAGGAAUACCGAUGGCGAAGGCAGCCAUCUGGCCUAAUACUGACGCUGAGGUACGAAAGCAUGGGGAGCAAACAGGAUUAGAUACCCUGGUAGUCCAUGCCGUAAACGAUGUCUACUAGCCGUUGGGGCCUUUGAGGCUUUAGUGGCGCAGCUAACGCGAUAAGUAGACCGCCUGGGGAGUACGGUCGCAAGACUAAAACUCAAAUGAAUUGACGGGGGCCCGCACAAGCGGUGGAGCAUGUGGUUUAAUUCGAUGCAACGCGAAGAACCUUACCUGGUCUUGACAUAGUAAGAACUUUCCAGAGAUGGAUUGGUGCCUUCGGGAACUUGCAUACAGGUGCUGCAUGGCUGUCGUCAGCUCGUGUCGUGAGAUGUUGGGUUAAGUCCCGCAACGAGCGCAACCCUUUUCCUUAUUUGCCAGCGGGUUAAGCCGGGAACUUUAAGGAUACUGCCAGUGACAAACUGGAGGAAGGCGGGGACGACGUCAAGUCAUCAUGGCCCUUACGACCAGGGCUACACACGUGCUACAAUGGUCGGUACAAAGGGUUGCUACCUAGCGAUAGGAUGCUAAUCUCAAAAAGCCGAUCGUAGUCCGGAUUGGAGUCUGCAACUCGACUCCAUGAAGUCGGA
This 1257-nucleotide ribosomal RNA is filed under the name uncultured Acinetobacter sp. RNAcentral describes it as "bacterial SSU rRNA". It matches the Rfam family "Bacterial small subunit ribosomal RNA", at positions 78 to 1330 of the family's 1533-position model. Lineage: Bacteria; Pseudomonadati; Pseudomonadota; Gammaproteobacteria; Moraxellales; Moraxellaceae. The record is from RNAcentral.